Molecule: small nucleolar RNA, 138 nt
Filed under: Ornithorhynchus anatinus (platypus)
Lineage: Eukaryota; Metazoa; Chordata; Mammalia; Monotremata; Ornithorhynchidae
Source: RNAcentral
CACCUCUCAAGGUCGCACUUGGAGAGUUUCCAGUACUCUACCAGUCUCAACUACGCGAGGGAGAGUCAAGCAGAGGCCUAUCCAUUCCAUUCCUAGCUUGGCCAGUGGCUAGUGAGUUGAAGACAAUCUACUCCAAGU